RNAcentral lists this ribosomal RNA (496 nucleotides) under uncultured bacterium. RNAcentral describes it as "partial 16S ribosomal RNA". It matches the Rfam family "Bacterial small subunit ribosomal RNA", at positions 29 to 507 of the family's 1533-position model. The record is from RNAcentral.
AUGAACGCUGGCGGCGUGCCUAAUACAUGCAAGUCGAGCGAACAGACGAGGAGCUUGCUCCUCUGACGUUAGCGGCGGACGGGUGAGUAACACGUGGAUAACCUACCUAUAAGACUGGGAUAACUUCGGGAAACCGGAGCUAAUACCGGAUAAUAUAUUGAACCGCAUGGUUCAAUAGUGAAAGACGGUUUUGCUGUCACUUAUAGAUGGAUCCGCGCCGCAUUAGCUAGUUGGUAAGGUAACGGCUUACCAAGGCAGCGAUGCGUAGCCGACCUGAGAGGGUGAUCGGCCACACUGGAACUGAGACACGGUCCAGACUCCUACGGGAGGCAGCAGUAGGGAAUCUUCCGCAAUGGGCGAAAGCUUGACGGAGCAACACCGCGUGAGUGAUGAAGGUCUUCGGAUCGUAAAACUCUGUUAUUAGGGAAGAACAAAUGUGUAAGUAACUAUGCACGUCUUGACGGUACCUAAUCAGAAAGCCACGGCUAACUACGUG